Molecule: ribosomal RNA, 492 nt
Filed under: uncultured bacterium
Lineage: Bacteria
Description: partial 16S ribosomal RNA
Rfam family: Bacterial small subunit ribosomal RNA
Source: RNAcentral
AGUGAACGCUGGCGGUAGGCCUAACACAUGCAAGUCGAACGGCAGCACAGUAAGAGCUUGCUCUUACGGGUGGCGAGUGGCGGACGGGUGAGGAAUACAUCGGAAUCUACUUUUUCGUGGGGGAUAACGUAGGGAAACUUACGCUAAUACCGCAUACGACCUACGGGUGAAAGCAGGGGAUCUUCGGACCUUGCGCGAUUGAAUGAGCCGAUGUCGGAUUAGCUAGUUGGCGGGGUAAAGGCCCACCAAGGCGACGAUCCGUAGCUGGUCGGAGAGGAUGAUCAGCCACACUGGAACUGAGACACGGUCCAGACUCCUACGGGAGGCAGCAGUGGGGAAUAUGGGACAAUGGGCGCAAGCCUGAUCCAGCCAUACCGCGUGGGUGAAGAAGGCCUUCGGGUUGUAAAGCCCUUUUGUUGGGAAAGAAAAGCAGCAGGUUAAUACCCCGCUGUUCUGACGGUACCCAAAGAAUAAGCACCGGCUAACUUCGUG